UGAGUAACCUGCCCUUGACUCUGGGAUAGGCCUGGGAAACCGGGUCUAAUACCGGAUAUGACUGCCGGCCGCAUGGCCUGGCGGUGGAAAGCUUUAUUGCGGUUUUGGAUGGACUCGCGGCCUAUCAGCUUGUUGGCGGGGUAAUGGCCCACCAAGGCGACGACGGGUAGCUGGUCUGAGAGGACGACCAGCCACACUGGAACUGAGAUACGGUCCAGACUCCUACGGGAGCAG
RNAcentral lists this ribosomal RNA (234 nucleotides) under uncultured bacterium. RNAcentral's name for it is "partial 16S ribosomal RNA". It matches the Rfam family "Bacterial small subunit ribosomal RNA", at positions 118 to 347 of the family's 1533-position model. The record is from RNAcentral.